AUUGAACGCUGGCGGCAUGCCUUACACAUGCAAGUCGAACGGUAACAGGUCUUCGGAUGCUGACGAGUGGCGAACGGGUGAGUAAUACAUCGGAACGUGCCCGAGAGUGGGGGAUAACGAGGCGAAAGCUUUGCUAAUACCGCAUACGAUCUCAGGAUGAAAGCAGGGGACCGCAAGGCCUUGCGCUCACGGAGCGGCCGAUGGCAGAUUAGGUAGUUGGUGGGAUAAAAGCUUACCAAGCCGACGAUCUGUAGCUGGUCUGAGAGGACGACCAGCCACACUGGACUGAGACACGGCCCAGACUCCUACGGGAGGCAGCAGUGGGGAAUUUCGGACAAUGGGCGCAAGCCUGAUCCAGCCAUGCCGCGUGCAGGAUGAAGGCCUUCGGGUUGUAAACUGCUUUUGUACGGAACGAAAAGACUCUGGUUAAUACCUGGGGUCCAUGACGGUACCGUAAGAAUAAGCACCGGCUAACUACGUGCCAGCAGCCGCCGUAA
RNAcentral lists this ribosomal RNA (497 nucleotides) under uncultured bacterium. Its description in RNAcentral is "partial 16S ribosomal RNA". It matches the Rfam family "Bacterial small subunit ribosomal RNA", at positions 30 to 523 of the family's 1533-position model. The record is from RNAcentral.